CUCGACCUCAUGAAGUCGGAGUCGCUAGUAAUCGCAGAUCAGCAACGCUGCGGUGAAUNCGUUNCCGGGCCUUGUACACNCCGCCCGUCAAGUCAUGAAAGUCGGUAACACCCGAAGCCAGUGGCCUAACCCCUUGUGGGAUGGAGCUGUCGAAGGUGGGAUUGGUGAUUAGGACUAA
Molecule: ribosomal RNA, 178 nt
Filed under: Frigoribacterium sp.
Lineage: Bacteria; Bacillati; Actinomycetota; Actinomycetes; Micrococcales; Microbacteriaceae
Description: partial 16S ribosomal RNA
Rfam family: Bacterial small subunit ribosomal RNA
Source: RNAcentral